RNAcentral lists this ribosomal RNA (491 nucleotides) under uncultured bacterium. Its description in RNAcentral is "bacterial SSU rRNA". It matches the Rfam family "Bacterial small subunit ribosomal RNA", at positions 360 to 864 of the family's 1533-position model. The record is from RNAcentral.
AAUAUUGCCCAAUGGACGAAAGUCUGAGGCAGCGACGCCGCGUGGGUGAUGAAGGCCUUCGGGUCGUAAAGCCCUUUUCUGUGUGACGAGACAGGACGGUAGCACAGGAAAAAGUCUCGGCUAACUACGUGCCAGCAGCCGCGGUAAAACGUAGGAGGCAAGCGUUAUCCGGAGUUACUGGGCGUAAAGCGUGCGUAGGCGGGUCGGUAAGUGGGUGGUGAAAGCGCCGGGCUAAACCGGGCGAGGUCCAUUCAGACUGUCGACCUAGAGGCGGAUAGAGGGGUGCGGAAUUCCGGGUGUAGCGGUGAAAUGUGUAGAGAUCCGGAGGAACACCAGUGGUGCAAACGGCGCCCUGGGUCCGAACUGACGCUGAGGCACGAAAGCGUGGGGAGCGAACGGGAUUAGAGACCCCGGUAGUCCACGCCGUAAACGAUGUCAACUAGGUGUCCACUUGGCUACGGUCAAGGGGGUGCCGAAGCUAACGCAAUAAG